Non-coding RNA from Gossypium hirsutum (cotton), 387 nucleotides. The record is from Rfam. NCBI's taxonomy places the organism in Eukaryota, Viridiplantae, Streptophyta, Magnoliopsida, Malvales, Malvaceae.
AUAAAUGUUAGCUCUAUUCCAAUUUGAUCUUAUUUGAUUCUUUUUAAAUAAUACAAUGACUAAAUUGAUCCAUUUAAUAGUACAGAGACUAAUUUAAUUUGAUUAGUUAAUUGGUGAGGCAAUAGCUUACCAAGGCGAUAGUAGCAGGUCCAAGAGGAUGAUCAGCCACACUGGGACUAAGACACGACCUAGACUCCUAUGGGAGGUAGUAGUAGGGAAUUUUUCAUAAUGGGCAAAAGCCUAACGGAGCAAUGCUGCGUGGAAGUAGAAAGCCCACGGGUCAUGAACUUCUUUUCCCGGAGAAGAAGCAAUGUCGAUAUAUGAGGAAUAAACAUCGGCUAACUCCAUGCCAACAGUCGCGGUCAUACAGAGGAUACUAGGCGUUGU